This 483-nucleotide ribosomal RNA is filed under the name uncultured bacterium. RNAcentral's name for it is "partial 16S ribosomal RNA". It matches the Rfam family "Bacterial small subunit ribosomal RNA", at positions 28 to 507 of the family's 1533-position model. The record is from RNAcentral.
GACGAACGCUGGCGGCGUGCUUAACACAUGCAAGUCGAACGCUGAAGCUCAGCUUUUGUUGGGUGGAUGAGUGGCGAACGGGUGAGUAACACGUGAGUAACCUGCCUCCUUCUUUGGGAUAACGCCCGGAAACGGGUGCUAAUACUGGAUAUUCACUGGUCUUCGCAUGGGGGUUGGUGGAAAGGGUUUUUCUGGUGGGGGAUGGGCUUGCGGCCUAUCAGCUUGUUGGUGGGGUGAUGGCCUACCAAGGCUUUGACGGGUAGCCGGCCUGAGAGGGUGACCGGUCACAUUGGGACUGAGAUACGGCCCAGACUCCUACGGGAGGCAGCAGUGGGGAAUAUUGCACAAUGGGCGCAAGCCUGAUGCAGCGACGCCGCGUGAGGGAUGGAGGCCUUCGGGUUGUGAACCUCUUUCGCUCAUGGUCAAGCCGCAACAAUGGUUGUGGUGAGGGUAGUGGGUAAAGAAGCGCCGGCUAACUACGUG